Amphibalanus amphitrite is the source of this 886-nucleotide long non-coding RNA. RefSeq lists it as uncharacterized. The transcript is spliced from 2 exons. The record is from RefSeq and is a predicted model, not a curated record. Lineage: Eukaryota; Metazoa; Arthropoda; Thecostraca; Balanomorpha; Balanidae.
GACAAAUUCAUCAUUUUCAGCGUAGUUUUGGAAAAAUGAUAGCCUUGUUUUUGUGAGCUAUCAUAAAAAUAUCAAUCUGAAAAAUAGAUAGGCCAACAUUCUUUCAAUCAAUUGUUUUGAGAAACUCAUCAUUGUCCGCUAGCAUGUGCCUACUUCUUGAAGUGAACACACCAACGCUCAGUAGGGUAUGUUUUGGCAUUGGUGAUAUUUUCAAUUCAAAUUCAACCUCGUGAAAAAGCGCAGUGCAUAUGACAUCCAUUCAUCAACAGUCCGCUUGAAGUGUCAAAAUGAGCUCUCAAAAAGGAAAUGCGAACCGAACCAGGGCUCAGAAGCAUAAAAAUGUAACCAAGUUCAACAACAGCAUGCAUGAUACUUCCAGACGAACCAAGCUCCUGAACAACAUGGAGGUGCAUGGUGUUUGCCAAAGGUGUAAAGACAUAAUCGACUGGAAAAUCAAGUACAAGAAGUACAAGCCUCUGACAGCUCCCAAAACGUGCACCAAAUGCCACCAAAAGACUAUCACACAGGCGUACAGAACCAUCUGUAGAAACUGUGCAUCAUCACUACAAGUCUGCGAGAAGUGCGGAGAAUCCAAGACGGUAAUACCGAAAACCAUUCUCACGCCACAGGAGCAAAUGAAAGAGGAAGCCGAGCUGGAGAAGGAGCUGAAGGGCCUUCCGGAGCGGAAAAGGAGAAGCCUAAAGAGGUGUAUGGCCAAAGAGAGGAGCAAUCCAGACAGUGAUCCCAACAACUUCAUCAGGGACAUGCGGCAGAGGAUCGAGGACGUGAGGCAGGGUCUGGAUGACGGUCUGUCGGAUAUGUCGGACUACACCAGUGGGGAAGAGAGCGGCGGGGAGGAUGGGGAGGAAUAAAUGACGGACAACAA